UACGGGGGGAGCAAGCGUUGUUCGGAUUUACUGGGCGUAAAGGGCGCGUAGGCGGUCAGCACAAGUCAGUUGUGAAAUCUCCGGGCUUAACUCGGAAAGGUCAACUGAUACUGUGCGACUAGAGUGCAGAAGGGGCAACUGGAAUUCUCGGUGUAGCGGUGAAAUGCGUAGAUAUCGAGAGGAACACCUGAGGUGAAGACGGGUUGCUGGGCCAACACUGACGCUGAGGCGCGAAAGCCAGGGGAGCAAACGGG
This 254-nucleotide ribosomal RNA is filed under the name uncultured bacterium. RNAcentral describes it as "partial 16S ribosomal RNA". It matches the Rfam family "Bacterial small subunit ribosomal RNA", at positions 524 to 776 of the family's 1533-position model. The record is from RNAcentral.